AGAUCCUAUGAUCUCAUCCUUUGAGACGAUCAUCACCAUGUUUGCUGUGAAAGCAGUUUGCCUCCUCGCCACUGUCGCUAUGCUUGUUGCAGUGGUGGCUGCGGGAGCUCCAAAUAAGCAAGUCUGCUUUCUUCAACCUAACGGCUCAUUCUAUUGUGCAAAUUAUCAAAGAUGAAGAGAUGCCAAGCAUCCACAGAAGACUUUAACCACUAAAAACCCUGUGUAGUCAAUUUAAAUAAAGUAGUCAUGCAUACCUA
Molecule: long non-coding RNA, 257 nt
Organism: Polypterus senegalus (gray bichir)
Lineage: Eukaryota; Metazoa; Chordata; Cladistia; Polypteriformes; Polypteridae
Exons: 4
Source: RefSeq, a predicted model, not a curated record